This 1503-nucleotide long non-coding RNA is filed under the name Xyrichtys novacula (pearly razorfish). Lineage: Eukaryota; Metazoa; Chordata; Actinopteri; Labriformes; Labridae. The record is from RNAcentral.
UAUAUAUAUGUGUGUGUGUGUAUAUGUGUAUGUUAUAAAGGCGUUUGGCAGGGCACAGAUGAGUGAGGUUCUUGUAAUUGGUCCAAAUCAAAAAAGGGAUCUCAGCUCUUUUGAGCCAGUGCCUCCACUUCUGAAGUGCCAAGAUCACUUCCAUCAGCUGAUGAGUCACUUGUAGAAAAGGGCACAAGAAUGUAAUUUAUGAGUCUCUGGGUUCCAGCUAGAGUGACAGCACAGCACUCACUCCUGAGGCAUCAAUCUCGAUGGACGGACCACGGUUCCUCAGUGCUGGCAUAAAUUGUUAAACUGAGGUUCUGGUGGGCUUGGUUAGGGGAGCAGCUAUGUUGCUGUAGUCAUGGAGAUAUCUCCUGUAAAAGUCUGCAAAUCCUAAAAAGCUUUGGUAUUUCCUGCCUGCACCAUGACGUUGGACAUUCAAACAACAGCUUGAAUUUUUUAAAAGGAUCUGGUUUUUGCUGCCCUCGACUGAUGAUGUAAUGAUGACCACAUUUCUCUGGUUUUAUAAAGAGUUUAUUUUUAAGUAGCUUCUGGAGCAGCGCAGAUGUGUGUGCUUUUCAAAAUACCAGGAAAAGAUUAAGAUGUUAUUGAGGUGUAUGAAGAAGAAUCUGUUCAGCAUGUCCAUAACACAUCAUCUAUCAGGGCCUGGAAGAACCAAAAAUGUAGCCAGCUUAUCAAAGAGGCCAACCAGAGUAUUGAAUACCAUCUUCCAAAUGAGAAAGUAGGCACUGUGCAAAUCUGUCCAUCCAUCCUUCCAUCCAUCCAUUCUACCUCUUAUCUCGUUGGGGGUUCACAGGGAUGUGAAGUUUUCCUCCCACAGCCCACCUGGAGUAAACCCAUGCAGACACAGGGAGAAUAUGCAAACUCCAUACAGACACACCCUGACCCGGAUUUGAACCCAGACCCUUCUUGCUGUUAAGCAACAGUGCUAACCACUACAUUAUUGUGCAAAUCCAGCUUAAUGACUACCUGGGCAUGGCACAGGGGCUUGGAGGAGGGAUUGAUGAGGGGUGAGUGUUAUGACUGUGGUCAUUUAUGUAUUUUGAUUGCUUAACUUAUUGACUGACAGCUCUGUCUCUCCUUCCCUCCUCUGCAGUGGAAAUCGGCGUCUGUGUGUGAGGGAUGAGCUGCAGGUGUGUGGGUGCUGCUGAUGGUUCCUGUGAUUUCAUUGCUGCAGGCUGAUUGCCACGUCCAACCACCAGUUUGUGUGAUGUUUUUGCCUAGUCUAGUGAAUCUAAAGACAGUCUAAUUUGUGAAUAAUUGUGAAUAUUUUUACUUUUGUAUUUAGUGGCAGUUGUAGGAGGGAGAAGCCAUUUUGUUUUAUGUCUCGUUUUCUCAGUUUUUGUUAGGAGUUAGGUUACCUGUUGUCUUAUGUUUUACAUCUGUUUUACUAUAGGUAAGUUAGGGUCCUUGGUUUAGCUGUUUUUGUUUCUUGUGUUGGCAUUGUUACCCUCCGAAGCCAAUAAAAACUACCUUUCUGCGAACUUUAAA